This is a long non-coding RNA of Toxorhynchites rutilus septentrionalis, 347 nucleotides long. RefSeq lists it as uncharacterized. Lineage: Eukaryota; Metazoa; Arthropoda; Insecta; Diptera; Culicidae. The transcript has 3 exons. The record is from RefSeq and is a predicted model, not a curated record.
UGCUGGUGAAAAUGAAACUACUUCUUCUCGCGCUCCUGGUUUUGUCAUCGGCCUGGCAAAUAAUGGCCAAGGUCAUUGAUGCUCGUCCAACAGCGCCGGGAAUGUUGCAUAUCAGCAAGCGACAAGUGACAUGCGACAAUUAUCAAUGUUGUGAUGAUGAAGGCGAAUGUUUUAGUAGAAUCGAUUGAUAAUCUCUUGCUGCUUGAUUAUCUUAGUUAAUACAGUGAAAUACAAACAUUUGUGAGAUGUAAAUAAAUUUUGUACAUUUUCUCGAUCAAAUUUUGAAAUUUUUCGAAUCCUACUGGCGGAUGCUAGUGCUGAAUAUAUUAUGUUGACGGAAAUAAAAA